GUACUUACCACUUUUAUGAUAAAUUCGAUAUAAAAAACAUAAUAAUAUAAUAUGCGAUCAGCAAUAGUUGUUAAAAUUGUUUUCAAUGAUUAAAAAUUGUGCCGCGGAGAGCGUCGGCACUUUUCGCUAUUUAUUCUUUAAAUGUAAUCUGUAGUACAGUACAACACUAUAUUACUGUAUGCGCCUGCCGUAUAGUGUGUAGGACCGUCGAAAAUUUGAAUCAUAUGGAUACGAAUGACAUUAGGAUUGAGUGACAAUUUGAAUCUCAAGUAGUCGAGUGGAGUACUCGGAGCCGAUAGCCUCGCACCCGUACUAUCUACGUUAGUACGUUUUAAAGAUUCAAAAUUAUCAGGUGUUCUGUAUUCAUCGAAUGAGCCGAUUAGGAGAAUUAGGAUUAGCGGAAAGCGGAAUAUCGAAAAAUGGCGAAGACGACCGACGCCGACUAAAACCGUUCCGACGGAACGCUGUUCGGCUGUCAGUCUGACAACGCGCUCUAUCCGAAUGUUCCGCGAAUUGUAUUUCGUUAUGCUUUUGCAUUUCGUCUUUCCAUGCUUGAAUUAUAGCGAUUUCAUUUUCCCACCAAACGGCAAACCGCUCGACACUCGACUGCCCGAUGAUGACGUACGCAAACGUUCCUGCUCGAUCAGCAGCUACAAUACAUUGCACUUCACGCGCACGCCGUUCAAUCGGAAUUUUCAGCAGAUAAUUCAUAUACUCAUAUUUACCCUAGCGAUUUGGACCGAAAUUUUGGGCACCUGUCGAGCCAAAUAUAUCUAUAUUAAUAUAAAACGGCGAUCUUGGAUCGACGAUUUCACCGUGCACUAAUACAUCGAAAACGAUAAAUCUUUAUAUAGACGAAUAAUACAUUACAUACCUGCGGGCUUAGAGUAUAUGAAUUAUGAACUUAUAUAUUGUGCUAUUUGUGAAACAAAUUCAAUCAAAAAAUGCAGAUAAAGCUUCAGCGACUAUGACCAUGCAUUGACAGAAUUAAAUUACAUAUUAUGUUUACACUUGUGAUCUUAUAAGUUACUAGAUAUAUUGUAUAGCCAUUACUCAUAAAUAAAUAUUAAAUUUUCAUUUAAUUUUUGUCAACUCUUUAGGUACUUUAUAUGAUGUACUUAUUACAUAUCAAUUUAAUAUAAAAUGUAUAUUAUAUAAAUGUAUAACUGUAACUAUAUAUAACUAUUUAAGUAUAAUAAUCAUACCAAGCGUGUCCAGUUCAUUUGCACACAUGGGUUAAUUAUAUUCAAUUAAAAAAUAUAUACAUACAAUUAAUAUUAUACAUGCAAUUGAGGAUAAUGAUUACCUGUAUCUAUAUUAUAUUUAUUUUAUAUUUAUGAGUUAAUGUAUAAUUUCAACGAAUAUACUUUUUCAUACUAAUUUAAAAAGCAUGUGUUUUAUAAUACAUACAUACAGAACACAGAAGCCUAACCUAUUCGAUAAUAGUAUAAUAUAUUAUUAUAAACUGUAUAGUCGUUUUAGGUAGGUAUAUACCAUAUGCAGUAAAACUCCGAAACAUAAUAUUAAUGUAAUAAUAAUAUAUUACAAUGAUUAUGAUAAUAUGCCUGCUAUACAAACCCAUAUGUUUAAUUUAUCGCAAAUAUACGAAGUAAUUACAUAAUAAAGUAAAAAAGAAUCGUAUAUAAUAGGUAUCAUAUUAUUCAUACUCGGCAAAUGUUUACAUUUCUUUGAUUACCUAUAUAAAUUUAAAAUUAAUUUACUUCAAUAGAAAUAAACCAUUAAAUGUAUGGCUAAAUUUGGCUUGUAUAGCUAUACAGUUAUAGUUAUUGUUGUGCCAUUAUUUAUAAAAUAGUAAGUACUAUUACUAUAUAGCCUAUUGCCUAUAAUAUAUUAGCAGUUAACAAUACAGCAUUUCUAUUAUAAGAGAAGAUGUAACCAUGUAAUCAAACUGCUAACUGGCGUUAUGUAAUACUUGUCAGUUUUCAGAUCCACGGGGUGGUAGAUAAUGAAAUUGACAACUUAAACUCGACAAAUGUCAAUUAAAACUUUUCUCACUGCGCUCGAGAUUUAGAAUUUUUUCACUACAAUUUCAUAGAAUCCAAU
Rhopalosiphum padi (bird cherry-oat aphid) is the source of this 2064-nucleotide long non-coding RNA. RefSeq lists it as uncharacterized. NCBI's taxonomy places the organism in Eukaryota, Metazoa, Arthropoda, Insecta, Hemiptera, Aphididae. The record is from RefSeq and is a predicted model, not a curated record. The transcript has 4 exons.